UCGUGUAGCCACACCACCAGCACCAAAACAGCACAGACCUCCCCCUCCCCUGCCCCAGCACCUCCUCGGAACCCCUCCUGCCUACAGAGAUCUAGUUUGUGAUUUAUUUUUUAGUAAAAGAAGAAGAAAAGAAAAAAAACGCCAACUGACCUAACUCUGGCCCUGUCUCUCCUUGAGAUGACGCUAAUUGUGAGGAGCCGUCUGUAGAAACUGCUGACCUACACGCUCACACAUCCUCACGUCCUGCCAGCCCAGCUGGCCUCCUGCACUCAUGCUGGCCCCAUGUAGCACUUUGUUGCCCUGUUCCUGAGAGGCUUGAUGACCUGCUGCUUUCGAGGCACUGUGUCUUCCGUUUGCUACUUGACCCCCUUCCCCUGCCUUGCAUUUACCUGGCCAUAGGUUUAUACCUAACCCAAAACUUCAGCAGCUUCAGAGAGGGACAGACUCACCCAUGCCAAGGCUCAGCCUUGGCUCACUAACGGGGCUGGAGUUCCCCCUGCCACCGCUGCUGCUGCCUGCUGAGCUGGAGCUGAGAGUUGUGCCACUUGCCACGCUUCUCUUCAUCGCUCGUCAAUGUUAUCUCCUUCCUGCAGCACAUGGUUCGGGGCGAGGGAGCGCACCGAGAGCAUGAGAGGAGGAGAGACUGCCCUGAGCUGCAGCACAGCACAAGGAAGGCCUCACUCUGAACACCAAAACUGUUUCUGUUGUUACACUGGAGCAUUGUACCAAGAGACCUCUGCUGUGACCUAGCACACCUCAUCACAUGUUGGUCUAGAAGGAUAACAAGCACUUUAAAGCAUGUCUACACCUCAUCUGAUCUAUUGUAUUGUCUGUUCCCACAGCCCUCCCACAUGCAAGUAAACCCACAGACUCGGUACACCUGUAGUGCUGUGAAGACACCCUUGCACACAGCCCAGUCAUUGACAGGGUGCAGGCUAGCACGAGUAUGUUAGUGACAGCGUAAUGAAGGGCAAAAGGUGCACAGCAGCUCGCCAUGAGGGAUCAGCCC
Tinamus guttatus (white-throated tinamou) is the source of this 1009-nucleotide non-coding RNA. Lineage: Eukaryota; Metazoa; Chordata; Aves; Tinamiformes; Tinamidae. The record is from RefSeq and is a predicted model, not a curated record.